Molecule: ribosomal RNA, 253 nt
Filed under: uncultured bacterium
Lineage: Bacteria
Description: partial 16S ribosomal RNA
Rfam family: Bacterial small subunit ribosomal RNA
Source: RNAcentral
UACGUAGGGUCCGAGCGUUGUCCGGAAUCAUUGGGCGUAAAGAGCGUGUAGGCGGCUUGGUAGGUCACGUGUUAAAGCCUGCGGCUCAACCGCAGAAUCGCACGUGAAACCACCUGGCUAGAGUGCGGCAGAGGGGGAUGGAAUUCCGCGUGUAGCAGUAAAAUGCGUAGAUAUGCGGAGGAACACCGAUGGCGAAGGCAAUCCCCUGGGCCUGCACUGACGCUCAUGCACGAAAGCGUGGGGAGCAAACAGG